RNAcentral lists this transfer RNA (86 nucleotides) under Felis catus (domestic cat). It matches the Rfam family "tRNA". Rfam says of the family: Transfer RNA (tRNA) molecules are approximately 80 nucleotides in length. Their secondary structure includes four short double-helical elements and three loops (D, anti-codon, and T loops). Further hydrogen bonds mediate the characteristic L-shaped molecular structure. tRNAs have two regions of fundamental functional importance: the anti-codon, which is responsible for specific mRNA codon recognition, and the 3' end, to which the tRNAs corresponding amino acid is attached (by aminoacyl-tRNA synthetases). tRNAs cope with the degeneracy of the genetic code in two manners: having more than one tRNA (with a specific anti-codon) for a particular amino acid; and 'wobble' base-pairing, i.e. permitting non-standard base-pairing at the 3rd anti-codon position. Lineage: Eukaryota; Metazoa; Chordata; Mammalia; Carnivora; Felidae. RNAcentral also lists the same sequence under 1 other name. The record is from Rfam by way of RNAcentral.
GCCUGGGUGGCUCAGUCAGUUGAGCAUCUGACUUCGGCUCAGGUUCACGAUCUCACAGUUGGUGGGUUUGAGCCCCAUGUCGGGCU